RNAcentral lists this ribosomal RNA (477 nucleotides) under uncultured anaerobic ammonium-oxidizing bacterium. Its description in RNAcentral is "bacterial SSU rRNA". It matches the Rfam family "Bacterial small subunit ribosomal RNA", at positions 365 to 832 of the family's 1533-position model. The record is from RNAcentral.
UUCGCAAUGCCCGAAAGGGUGACGAAGCGACGCCGCGCGGGUGAGGAAGGCCUUCGGGUUGUAAAGCCCUGUCAGGAGUUAAGAAAUGUAGUCUCGCUAAUAUCGGGUCUAUUUGACAAAGGCUCCAAGGGAAGCCACAGCUAACUCUGUGCCAGCAGCCGCGGUAAUACAGAGGUGGCAAGCGUUGUUCGGAAUUAUUGGGCGUAAAGAGCACGUAGGUGGUUUUGUAAGUCAGGUGUGAAAGCCUUCUGUUCAAAGGAAGAAUUGCAUCUGAAACUACAAACCUUGAGUGUAGGAGGGGAGAAUGGAACUUCUGGUGGAGCGGUGAAAUGCGUAGAUAUCAGAAGGAACGCCGGCGGCGAAAGCGAUUCUCUGGCCUAUUACUGACACUCAGUGUGCGAAAGCUAGGGGAGCAAACGGGAUUAGAUACCCCGGUAGUCCUAGCCGUAAACGAUGGGCACUAAGUAGAGGGGUUUU